Molecule: ribosomal RNA, 119 nt
Filed under: Triticum aestivum (bread wheat)
Lineage: Eukaryota; Viridiplantae; Streptophyta; Magnoliopsida; Poales; Poaceae
Source: RNAcentral
GGAUGCGAUCAUACCAGCACAAAAGCAUCGGAUCCCAUCAGAACUCCGAAGUUAAGCGUGCUUGGGCGAGAGUAGUACUAGGAUGGGUGACCUCCUGGGAAGUCCUUGUGUUGCAUUCC